RNAcentral lists this ribosomal RNA (497 nucleotides) under uncultured organism. RNAcentral's name for it is "bacterial SSU rRNA". It matches the Rfam family "Bacterial small subunit ribosomal RNA", at positions 28 to 507 of the family's 1533-position model. The record is from RNAcentral.
GAUGAACGCUGGCGGCGUGCCUAAUACAUGCAAGUCGAACGAAGAGCGUAAGAAGCUUGCUUCUUACAAUCUUAGUGGCGAACGGGUGAGUAAUACAUAAGCAACCUGCCUCAAUGCCUGGGAUAACUGAUGGAAACGUCAGCUAAUACCGGAUAGGUUAAGUCAAGACAUCUUGAUUUAAUUAAAGAUGGGAUACAUCACAAUGAGAUGGGCUUAUGGCGCAUUAGUUAGUUGGUGAGGUAACGGCUCACCAAGACGAUGAUGCGUAGCCGACCUGAGAGGGUGACCGGCCACACUGGGACUGAGACACGGCCCAGACUCCUACGGGAGGCAGCAGUAGGGAAUUUUCGGCAAUGGGGGAAACCCUGACCGAGCAACGCCGCGUGAGUGAAGAAGGCCUUCGGGUUGUAAAGCUCUGUUGUAAGGGAAGAACGAUAGUUAGAGGGAAUGCUAGCUAUAUGACGGUACCUUACCAGAAAGCCACGGCUAACUACGUG